This 75-nucleotide transfer RNA is filed under the name Chloroflexota bacterium. RNAcentral describes it as "Chloroflexi bacterium tRNA-Lys". It matches the Rfam family "tRNA". Rfam says of the family: Transfer RNA (tRNA) molecules are approximately 80 nucleotides in length. Their secondary structure includes four short double-helical elements and three loops (D, anti-codon, and T loops). Lineage: Bacteria; Bacillati; Chloroflexota. The record is from RNAcentral.
GGCCGUGUGGCGCAAUGGUAGCGCAGCUGACUUUUAAUCAGUUGGUUGUAGGUUCGAAUCCUACCACGGUCAUCA